This 251-nucleotide ribosomal RNA is filed under the name uncultured Streptococcus sp. RNAcentral's name for it is "partial 16S ribosomal RNA". It matches the Rfam family "Bacterial small subunit ribosomal RNA", at positions 93 to 339 of the family's 1533-position model. Lineage: Bacteria; Bacillati; Bacillota; Bacilli; Lactobacillales; Streptococcaceae. The record is from RNAcentral.
GAGUCGCGAACGGGUGAGUAACGCGUAGGUAACCUGCCUAUUAGCGGGGGAUAACUAUUGGAAACGAUAGCUAAUACCGCAUAAUAUUAAUUAUUGCAUGAUAAUUGAUUGAAAGAUGCAAGCGCAUCACUAGUAGAUGGACCUGCGUUGUAUUAGCUAGUUGGUAAGGUAAGAGCUUACCAAGGCGACGAUACAUAGCCGACCUGAGAGGGUGAUCGGCCACACUGGGACUGAGACACGGCCCAGACUCC